AGGGCUUUAUCUUAAUUAAAGGGCCUGAGUUGCAUUCAGGAGAUGUAGAUUAAUAUUCUGCAAGUCCUA
This 69-nucleotide transfer RNA is filed under the name Pelophylax ridibundus (marsh frog). RNAcentral's name for it is "tRNA-Ala". The record is from RNAcentral. RNAcentral also lists the same sequence under 7 other names. Lineage: Eukaryota; Metazoa; Chordata; Amphibia; Anura; Ranidae.